CACAGACAGACACACAGACAGACACACAGACAGACACACAGACAGACAGACAGACAGAAACAAACCUAAACCUAAAAUAAUAUAUUAAUAUAUUCCAAAACCAAAGUUACAAAGUGCUUCAGUCAAGGCAGAAAAUUAAACCAAUUCCAGUAAUAUUAGAUUAAAAAAAAUUAAAAGACUAUACAUCCUAGUUCUAUCCCUGACUAAGUGUGAUAAAUUGAUGUUAAUGUAAAUAAAUGUAUUGCAAUGCUGUCAAUAAACUAAACCAAGAACCAGAUCUGAUACAAUCAGCUUCAGCUUUCAGAACUGAACAUAUUUGUAAAAGCUCUGAAUUGAAUGAAAUCCUACACAUUUUCUGUUAUUUCUUUACAUAACUUGUGCAGCCAGGACAUCACAUGUCAUCAUUUCAUUUGAAGCUAAUCUGUGAAACUUGGCUGCUUUUCAUGAAUCUAACACUUGUGUGAGCUAAAAAUGUCACGAAAAGAGAUGACAACUUUUCAUUAUGUAGGCCAAUCCUCCCUGUAUGCAGCUUUUGUCUUGAACAACAAGACAAAACAUUUCAAUCUUUUUCCCACCACUUUUACUCAGUGGAGUGACUCCAUAAAACACUGCAGCUGCCGUCAGUCAGAGCAGAUAUUAGAGGUGCAGCUCACACAAAAAUGGCCCCCUCUCUUUCUCUCAAUGUCACAUAAACUGUGUGAUGGCCUUGCUGUUAAAUGGAGUAGAAUUGAUUUUACGCAGCGAGCAGCAAGGCGGCAAGCAUCCACAGACAUCUGAAGGCCCCCCCCCAAAAAAAAAAAAUGAUUAUAGUUAUAUAAGUUUCCCUCCCACUCCCUCUCCACCAUCAGCAGGGGUGUUGUCAUAGCAACCCCCUCCCCUCCUCUUAAACGUCAGAGCCAGGAGCUCAGAGGAUGAAGCCGCAUGCAGCUUCUGUCUCUUGUGCCUCUCAGAGAACAUCACCUGUGAUUUUCCCCGUCUCACAUGCAACAGUCGGGGCUGCGGCGCUGGAAAUAAUCUGAUGUUUGAUUUGACUCGCGGCUGACGCACAUCACAUACAAUCUAAAGACCAAGAGAGCAGCUGAUUCAGCAGCGUCUGCAGCAGUGAUGUCGUGGCUUUUCUUGGACUGGUUCGUCCCCCUCUACCUGCUGGUGUCAGUUUUGGUGCUGGCAGGCUUCGGAGCAUGCCUUUACUUCCUCGAGCCAGGGCUGCAGGAUGCCCACAAGUGGAGCAACAAAACAGUCCGGCAUCACCCGCUGGUGGCCAGUGUGAACUGCAUGGAUGACGAUAGCAAUGCCCUGAUAUGAUCAAGAGGGCGAGGCGGAACGGGGCGGGAGGCCAUCUGGACAGCAGGGUGCUGCCAGGACACCGGUGGGAAGGGGAGCCAACACCUUAAAGAUGGAGAAAAAAAAUGGAAGAGGAGGAGGAGAAAGACGGAGGAGAGAUCGCCCUGUCCUAUCAUUCCAACUUUUCUCUGAUCUCUAAUUCACUUUAUGUAGAGAUCAGGGGAAAGUGAAGCAGAGGGAGAAUGCACAAGGAGGAGAAGACUUCAUGCAGGACGAGAUUGCGUGGAGGACAUGUUGCCCUUUAGAAAUGUGAUUAAAACAUGAUGUAAAUUUCACGCCAUCUUAUACUUGUGCCAACUUUUACAUACGUUUUGUAAUUUGACAAUCAUUUUACAUAAAUCAUGAAGUUUACUUACUAUAUUGUGCAUUUAAUUAGUGAAAUGAAUGAUGUAAGUGCAAUGAAUUUGUUGCCGGCAGGAGGGUGUUUAAUCUUCUCUUUGGUGAUGGCAGCAGCUGCUGAGAAGCAUGUGGAUUGUUAGAGCCAAUGUGCCAAAAUGGUUUUAGUAGUCACUUUAUUAAGAAAAAUAUGCAUUGAAUAAAUGCUUACUGAUAUAUUCAAGGUGCCAAGUUUAUCUAAGAUAGACCAAGAUUACAGAAAACAACAAUUUGGUAAUGCGCAAAGUGUAUUUUUGUUUUUGUUUUCAUUGUUUUUACUUGACAGCAUGGUGAGGAAACUGUGGGUGUGUAGCAACCCUCUUUUGAUGAUCAUAUGCUUCCUUUGUUCAUAAAAAAUAAAACGGUUCAAUCCUCAAUUA
Long non-coding RNA from Cottoperca gobio, 2099 nucleotides. RefSeq lists it as uncharacterized. NCBI's taxonomy places the organism in Eukaryota, Metazoa, Chordata, Actinopteri, Perciformes, Bovichtidae. The transcript is spliced from 2 exons. The record is from RefSeq and is a predicted model, not a curated record.